RNAcentral lists this ribosomal RNA (224 nucleotides) under uncultured bacterium. Its description in RNAcentral is "partial 16S ribosomal RNA". It matches the Rfam family "Bacterial small subunit ribosomal RNA", at positions 524 to 748 of the family's 1533-position model. The record is from RNAcentral.
UACGUAGGGUCCGAGCGUUGUCCGGAGUUACUGGGCGUAAAGCGCGCGCAGGCGGCCCGCGAGGUGUCACGUGAAAGCCCCGGGCUCAACUCGGGAGGGUCGUGGCAAACCGGCGGCUUGAGGCCGGUAGAGGUGGGUGGAACUCCUGGUGGAGUGGUGAAAUGCGUAGAGAUCAGGAAGAACACCCGUGGCGAAGGCGGCCCACUGGGCCGGUGCUGACGCUG